CAGGAGCAACGGCGUGGUGCUCAGGGCUUAAUAACUGAGUUUGUUUUUACCUUUUCUUCGGUUUGUAAGCCUCGCAUCGAUUCUAAUGGAUUUCUUUUUCCGUUUCUUAAACCUUUCCCCGAUUUACAGUGAUCUGUUUAUGAUAGAAUCCGUUCUGCUUGAUGGAAUAUUUAGUUUAUUCUUUAUUUGUUGUUGAAAUACGCUAAAUAUUGCAUGUAUUUAAUUUUACAAUGCUCAGAAAGUAUUUGUCAAUCUGAUAUAUGUAAAAAAUUCCCUUUUCGGAGUACCAUAAAGCUAAAUUUGUUACUGAUGUUCAUCUUAUUCUGUUGAUCUUAUUCUUCGUAUGCUUAUGUUUACAUUCAUGUAUAUUUGAAUUCUGCUUUCUAUUUAAGCAGCUGGAAGGAAUUGACUCAAUGUUAUUGAUUUUGAUAGGACAUCAGCUUCGUUCGUCAAACCCUAGCUAAACCCCUGUUCAUCUUCUGGGAUCGAUAUUUAAGUAACGACCAUGAGUACUCCUUUAAACGAAGGUGAAGAUCACGGUGAUGUCUUUCUUGAUGAAGAUGACAUCGUAGAAGAAAUCAAUG
RNAcentral lists this long non-coding RNA (584 nucleotides) under Lactuca sativa (garden lettuce). Its description in RNAcentral is "long non-coding RNA (LSAT_LNC009286)". Lineage: Eukaryota; Viridiplantae; Streptophyta; Magnoliopsida; Asterales; Asteraceae. The record is from RNAcentral.